UACGGGGGGGGCAAGCGUUGUUCGGAAUUACUGGGCGUAAAGAGCGCGCAGGCGGUCGUUCAAGUCGAGUGUGAAAGCCCCCGGCUCAACUGGGGAGGGUCAUUCGAUACUGAUCGACUCGAAGGCAGGAGAGGGAAGUGGAAUUCCCGGUGUAGUGGUGAAAUGCGUAGAUAUCGGGAGGAACACCAGUGGCGAAGGCGGCUUUCUGGUCUGCUCUUGACGCUGAGGCGCGAAAGCUAGGGUAGCAAACGGG
This 253-nucleotide ribosomal RNA is filed under the name uncultured bacterium. Its description in RNAcentral is "partial 16S ribosomal RNA". It matches the Rfam family "Bacterial small subunit ribosomal RNA", at positions 524 to 776 of the family's 1533-position model. The record is from RNAcentral.